Molecule: ribosomal RNA, 253 nt
Filed under: uncultured bacterium
Lineage: Bacteria
Description: partial 16S ribosomal RNA
Rfam family: Bacterial small subunit ribosomal RNA
Source: RNAcentral
UACAGAGGUCUCGAGCGUUAGGCGGAAUCACUGGGCUUAAAGCGUGUGUAGGUGGAUCGUUAAGUACCUUGUGAAAUCCCACGGCUUAACCGUGGAACUGCUUGGUAUACUGGCGGUCUUGAGCCAGCUAGGGGCUACCGGAACAAAUGGUGGAGCGGUGAAAUGCGUAGAUAUCAGAAGGAACAUCAGUGGCGAAAGCGGCUUCCUGGACCAGAACUGACGAUCAGGCUCGAAAGCGUGGGGAGCAAACAGG